AGCGAACGCUGGCGGCAGGCUUAACACAUGCAAGUCGAGCGGGCAUCCUUGUGGUGUCAGCGGCAGACGGGUGAGUAACGCGUGGGAACGUGCCCUUCGGUUCGGAAUAACUCAGGGAAACUUGAGCUAAUACCGGAUACGUGCGAGAGCAGAAAGGUUUAUCUGCCGAAGGAUCGGCCCGCGUCUGAUUAGCUAGUUGGUGAGGUUAUGGCUCACCAAGGCGACGAUCAGUAGCUGGUCUGAGAGGAUGAUCAGCCACACUGGGACUGAGACACGGCCCAGACUCCUACGGGAGGCAGCAGUGGGGAAUAUUGGACAAUGGGGGCAACCCUGAUCCAGCCAUGCCGCGUGAGUGAUGACGGCCUUUGGGUUGUAAAGCUCUUUUCUCCGGGACGAUAAUGACGGUACCGGAGGAAUAAGCCCCGGCUAACUUCGUG
RNAcentral lists this ribosomal RNA (437 nucleotides) under uncultured bacterium. Its description in RNAcentral is "partial 16S ribosomal RNA". It matches the Rfam family "Bacterial small subunit ribosomal RNA", at positions 29 to 507 of the family's 1533-position model. The record is from RNAcentral.